CCGCGAACUCCCACUCUGUGACGACAAGUGUGCGCGUCGGACGUCUGUCAUCGGAGUGCGUCUGUUAUUGUUGGCAGAGAGUGGUGUGGCACAAUGUCUGAAGUCAGCGUGCCUGUCAAAACUGAAGAGAGGGGGGAACUGUGUGGCAGCGGGGCAGCAGAUCCUGAGAUGACGGAUUUCGAGCGGGGACUGAUCGUGGGCUACCAUGAAGGUGGGAAGACCUUGGCGGAAAUCGUGGAGAUCACGGGGCUGCCCAAACGCGCGGUGAAGAAAUUCCUGGGAGACUGGAAGAGAGGAGCUGUUGAUGCGUACACAGGCAUCUACAAGGAUGCCAGCGCAGCAGGGAAAGAGAGCGCAGACAGCGGGAGCGAUGACUGAAGCCGGAGCAGGCGAAUCUCACGGACGGACAGACUUCCUGUUGGUGAUGCUCCCCAGGCCGGCAGCGCUGGUCUCCCUGCUUUUCGCCAGUGUCGUCACGUUCUCGUGUGGCGGCACGAGGGGGAGGGGGGACUUUGUAAAGUUGCUCUUGAGAUAUGUGUUGUAUGCAGACCUUACAUAUUGUUUGUAUUUUAUUUUUUCAUUCGUAUUUGUACUGCAGGCAUGCAGCGUACCUGAAGACACUAAUGCCAAUAAAGAUUUCUACCUUGGAGAAUCUGGGAGAUUGAGUUCUUAA
This 673-nucleotide long non-coding RNA is filed under the name Lepisosteus oculatus (spotted gar). Its description in RNAcentral is "lncRNA (ENSLOCG00000022277.1)". Lineage: Eukaryota; Metazoa; Chordata; Actinopteri; Semionotiformes; Lepisosteidae. The record is from RNAcentral.